Molecule: ribosomal RNA, 253 nt
Filed under: uncultured bacterium
Lineage: Bacteria
Description: partial 16S ribosomal RNA
Rfam family: Bacterial small subunit ribosomal RNA
Source: RNAcentral
UACGUAGGGGGCAAGCGUUGUCCGGAAUCAUUGGGCGUAAAGAGCGCGUAGGCGGCCCUGUAAGUCCGCUGUGAAAGUCCAGGGCUCAACCCUGGAAUGCCGGUGGAAACUGUCGGGCUGGAGUCCGGAAGAGGCGAGUGGAAUUCCUGGUGUAGCGGUGAAAUGCGCAGAUAUCAGGAGGAACACCGAUGGCGAAGGCAGGUCUCUGGGCCGAUACUGACGCUGAGGAGCGAAAGCGUGGGGAGCGAACAGG